UACGGAGGGUGCAAACGUUGCUCGGAAUUAUUGGGCGUAAAGCGCACGUAGGCGGCGAGGCAAGUCGGAUGUGAAAUCCCGGGGCUCAACUCCGGAACUGCAUUCGAUACUGCUUUGCUAGAGUACUGGAGAGGAGACUGGAAUUUACGGUGUAGCAGUGAAAUGCGUAGAUAUCGUAAGGAAGACCAGUGGCGAAGGCGAGUCUCUGGACAGUUACUGACGCUGAGGCACGAAGGCCAGGGGAGCAAACGGG
This 253-nucleotide ribosomal RNA is filed under the name uncultured bacterium. Its description in RNAcentral is "partial 16S ribosomal RNA". It matches the Rfam family "Bacterial small subunit ribosomal RNA", at positions 524 to 776 of the family's 1533-position model. The record is from RNAcentral.